This 261-nucleotide ribosomal RNA is filed under the name uncultured bacterium. RNAcentral describes it as "partial 16S ribosomal RNA". It matches the Rfam family "Bacterial small subunit ribosomal RNA", at positions 793 to 1055 of the family's 1533-position model. The record is from RNAcentral.
GUCCACGCCGUAAACGGUGGGCGCUAGGUGUGGGGCCAUUCCACGGUCUCUGUGCCGCAGCUAACGCAUUAAGCGCCCCGCCUGGGGAGUACGGCCGCAAGGCUAAAACUCAAAGGAAUUGACGGGGCCCGCACAAGCGGCGGAGCAUGUGGAUUAAUUCGAUGCAACGCGAAGAACCUUACCUGGGUUUGACAUGCACCAGACGCACGCAGAGAUGUGUGUUCCCUUGUGGUUGGUGUGCAGGUGGUGCAUGGCUGUCGU